This 263-nucleotide ribosomal RNA is filed under the name uncultured bacterium. RNAcentral's name for it is "partial 16S ribosomal RNA". It matches the Rfam family "Bacterial small subunit ribosomal RNA", at positions 61 to 334 of the family's 1533-position model. The record is from RNAcentral.
AUUGAACGUGAUUUGCUGGGUGCUUGCACCGAGCAAUGAAAGUAGCGCACUGGUGAGUAACACGUGGGAACGUACCUUUUGGUGGGGAACAACAGUUGGAAACGACUGCUAAUACCGCAUAAGCCCUGAGGGGGAAAGAUUUAUCGCCGAAAGAACGGCCCGCGGAAGAUUAGGUAGUUGGUGGGGUAACGGCCUACCAAGCCGACGAUCUAUAGCUGGUCUGAGAGGACGAUCAGCCACAUUGGAACUGAGACACGGUCCAA